UCUCUGGUGGCUCAGACGGUAAAGCAUCUGCCUGGAAUGCAGGAGACCCAGGUUCGAUCCCUGGGUUGGGAA
This 72-nucleotide transfer RNA is filed under the name Ovis aries (sheep). It matches the Rfam family "tRNA". Rfam says of the family: Transfer RNA (tRNA) molecules are approximately 80 nucleotides in length. Their secondary structure includes four short double-helical elements and three loops (D, anti-codon, and T loops). Further hydrogen bonds mediate the characteristic L-shaped molecular structure. tRNAs have two regions of fundamental functional importance: the anti-codon, which is responsible for specific mRNA codon recognition, and the 3' end, to which the tRNAs corresponding amino acid is attached (by aminoacyl-tRNA synthetases). tRNAs cope with the degeneracy of the genetic code in two manners: having more than one tRNA (with a specific anti-codon) for a particular amino acid; and 'wobble' base-pairing, i.e. permitting non-standard base-pairing at the 3rd anti-codon position. The record is from Rfam by way of RNAcentral. Lineage: Eukaryota; Metazoa; Chordata; Mammalia; Artiodactyla; Bovidae.